Molecule: long non-coding RNA, 6440 nt
Organism: Cavia porcellus (domestic guinea pig)
Lineage: Eukaryota; Metazoa; Chordata; Mammalia; Rodentia; Caviidae
Exons: 2
Source: RefSeq, a predicted model, not a curated record
UCCCAUCACUCAGGAGGCUGAGGCAGGAGAGUUGCUGUGAAUUCAAGGCCAGCUUGGGUUACACAACUGAGUUCAAGGCCAGCCUGAAUUGUGAGACCCUGUCUCAAAACAACAAAAACAAAAUCAAAAAACAGUGAAAGGUAAUAGUUUCCAGGGUGUGGAGCACAGGAGACGGCGCCCCAGAGCAGGGAUGGAAAUGAGGGUCCCCAGAAGGAAAAACUGUGAAGAGUCCUCCAGAAACCAGAAAUAGAACUACCACAUGAUUCAGAAAACUCACUUCCUCGUUUACAGCCAAAGGAACUGAAACCCUUAUUCCCAGGAAAUGUCUGCUGACCCGUGUUUAUUGCAGCUCUGCUCACAAUGGCCAAGAUGCAGGAUCAACCUAACUGCGGGUUCUGAGAGGUGCCAGGAACCACCAGUGGAGGUCACAGCACAUCCAACCCUUCUGGAAGCAGCCGAGGAGCCGAAGAGUCGGGGCCUCCAAAGAGGGAAAAGUCUCGCCAGCUGCUCCUGGACAGGAGACCACCGUCCACCACACACUAACAGCUGAAGAGAAUGCGGCUGCCCCGGGGGAAGGGGCCCAGAAAACAGCGAGCACAGAACAGACGGAAGCUUCUCAGGAGCGUGAGUGGCCAGCGGGCUCCUGGAAAGCGGUUAUGGCCUCUGUCCUGAAAGAACCGGUUCGGCCCGCGGGGUCCCUGCCUGCUUGGCCGGAAUGGUCUUCAUCCACCUGGACACCACAGUGCCCUGCUGUGGGAUGAGGCCGAGAGAACGGAGACCACACUUGCAUCCCCAAAGAGCACUGCAGGGCCAGAGCUGAGACCUGCAGACACUGACAGACAGACAGACGGGGGCAGAUGGGAAGGGGUCCAGGAGACAGGGCAUGGCAUGGAGGGGUCUAAAUGGAGGUAAGUUGCUUAAUCUUGCUCCAGAUUCCUUUUUCAAGCUGGAUGUGGUGGCACACACCUGUAAUCCCAGCAUUCGGGAGGCUGAGGCGGGAGGAUGGCUGUGAGUUCCAGGCCAGCCUGCACUACGUGGGCGAGACCAAGACCAAGUCCCCUUUUCCAGUAAGUGGGAAAGCCUCCCCCCCAUCCACACCUUCCGCUCCACAGCGCACGAUUCAGGGACACAGUGACCAAAGCCGAGCACAAGCUCUGAAGCCCCCGACUUCAGAGAAGCGCGGGGGCUGGGGUGCAGCCCAGCUGUGCAGGGCUCGCUCAGCCCGCAGGAGGCCCGGGUUCGGCCCCCAGCACCGCAGAAUAACCGGACAUCAGGUGAAUGAAUGAAUAAAUGGCAGCAUUAUUUUUUUUCUCUUGAAACACUCAAAAUAUGGCUCAACAACGUAAACCCUCACUCGGGGACACGCACCUUUGUGGGGCUUUCUGUGCUUCCUGGCUGGCAGGGCUAACCAGGGAGAGGGGGGUCCAGGGCACUGAGCAAACAGACAGAAGAAACUGCGCCCCUCUGGGGUUCCCCAAAGUCCAGUCUCCACGGCACCCAGGCUGUGGCACCUGCAAAGCGACUGUGUGUGGGGACCCCUGGACUCCACGGCACCCGGCUUCCUGUCCCGGAAACGUCCCAGGUGAGCCUGCCCCCAUCUUUUCCCCUCUGUACUGGGCCCGGGUCAGGGCAGAGAGGGACACAGAGGGGACCUGGGACAAGCACAAGCUUCCGCCAGGCAAGCGCCAAGGCCCAGCCGGCCAGGCCGAAGGAUGCAAGUGCCUGCCUGAUCGCUCUAUGAAGAGAGCAGGGUGCAGAUGCUAGGGUUUUACUGAAGAGCAAAAUGUCCUGCUCGGGGCCUGGAGUACCAGCAUCUCACCUAAGGUGCGUGCACCAUGGCAUCUGCAGCAGCCUCUCCCUCCUUCUGGGCCUUGAAGCCCACAUGCCCACACUCAAGACGCGCAAGGGAGCUUUGGCCCUCAUGGGAACCCCUCAGUUGACAUUGACCUCUGCACCUCCAAAGUUCUCUUCGGUGCCUGCAGUGGCAUCUAGGAGGCCAGGAGCUGCGUGACAAUGACAGAACCCACUGCACGGGCCGGGGUGUGUCAAAGGCUGCUGAGCACAGCAAUAAAACCACUGCACCCUCCGGUUAGCUCCUCAUCUGAGCUCCUCAGCUCUGUGCAGUGCAACCUUGACUUCAAGUCCCCCGUGACCCCAGCAGGUGCAGAUGACCUCAUAGUGACCAACGCGAAGCCCAUUGCCAAGGCCGUGAACGACAAGGCCUGCAGCUACCUGCUGCUCCCAGUUGACUGGCUGACAGUGUCCCUGCAGGUGUGCGAGCUGGUGCACCCCAGCAGUGUCAGGCUGCCACAUGGUCCGAGAGGUGGAGGAGAGGACCCCUUCAUCUCUGGUGGAUCAAGACUGGCGCACCAUGCAACCCAAGCACCUGGUCAGGUGCAGCCAGAGCCUCAGAACUGAGGGGCUGGGGGCUGGGGGUAGCAAGGCCCAGUUCACCAGCCAGAACUUCAGAAAUCCCUGGGCAAGGAGGCAGAGACAGACCAGCACCCAGGCCACGGCGCCUGGUAGUCAGGUCCCUGCCUGCCACCACUUCUAUAGACACCAGCGGGGCAAAGGGGAGCCCGUGACCCCAGCUCUCCCGGCUCCCACAGCGCCCAGAACUGUGUGAGCCCCAGGCUGGGUUCCCAGUGGUUCUGCUGCUAAAUAAACGCCCCAGGGCCCAAGGAGAACACAUUGUAUUAUAUCUCGGUCAGCUUCUCCAGGAUUGAGCUGAACUCUGAGUCUCUUGGAGUCAGCUCACUCAGCUGGACUCUUCCGUGUCACCCAGGCCUUCAGCUUACAUGUUGAGAUGCAGAAUCUAAAAGUCGCAGUGCAACCUGCAUGUGCUGAAAGACUACAGAGCUUUAAAUAAUUCUUGCAAUGUUCUACCUAGCAAGAAAACACGGAGCACAGGUGUGUGUAGGCUUGCUUACCAAAAAUGUUGUUUCAAUUAUUUAUUUGGGAUGACAACUUAGCAAACAUUUUUGAUAUGUAGGGUCCUGGUUUCGGGGGUUUUUCUUUUUGGAAAGUGGCUGACAUUCCCGUACUGCUGCUGGUCCACCUGUGUGGCAAGGCAAGGACGGCUGUCAUUGUGAGGGGCGCACCAGCCAGCUGACACUCACAGCUUAGAAAGGGGAGGCUCAUCUCGGCUCACGGCUCCAAAGGAUUCGGUUCAUGGUUGGCUCCAAGGCAGGAACGGCGUGAUGGAAGGAGGAGGCAAAGCUUCCGGGUUCAUGGCCAGGAGCACAGCACAGGGAGGGAGAGAGAGACCCCAGCUCCUCCAGCUGGGUCCCACCUUUUAACGGCACAGCGAGCUAUGAACAUCAGUGGGAAUCCACUGAACAUCACAGUGGCCCACGGUUCAGUCACCCCUUAGUGCAGCCAAGUUGACAGUGAUGGUUAACUGCACAAGUCAGUUCUAAAAUCCCACCUGAGCAGUCCCAUUAAAAGCUAAAAAGCAAGUAUGAGGCCGCCCAGCUUGGAAGAUCACUCAUGGCUUCCUGUCGGGUGCAUCACACCUGGGUAUCUCUGCAGCAGGUGACCGUGGCUGACAUCUGAUCCAGGCUGAGGUUUGUGGGUGGGGACUUGGCCUUCGAGGUCUCCUGCCCUGGGUCCCCAUGCUGUGGGCAAAGGCCUGGUGGCGCAGGAGUAGGGUCCUCGGGGUCUGAUGGACCUGGGGUCCAGUCCUGAUGCUGCCAUCCUGGCUGUCAGCAUUGUGACCACUCCGCCCACUCCUGAGUCUCAGCUUCCUACACCUCAUUGGGACAGUGAGCAGCUGAGACCCAGGCUGCCGCGUAGGUCGGGUGCCCUGGGCAAUGAACCUGGCAUCUUCACCGCACUAAACACAACAAAACCUCUCGGCCCGCGUCGCCUCCCUGGCAGGCAAUGAGGCUGAGGAGAGCCCUGCAGUGUGGGAAAGCAGAUCCACCUCCAUGGAAAAGCGGUGCUGUGCGGGUCCUGUCCUGAUGCAUCUGUCUUGCUGGUUUUUGAUAGGGUCUCAGGAUGCAGCCCCGGCUGGUCUCGGACUCAAGGUCCUCCUGUCUCAGCCUCCCGAGUGCCCCACGCGUUGGGCCGCUCUCCCUUUAGACCCCUUUUCCUUCCUGUCCCUACCCCGGCCAGAGCUCGCUCAUCUCCUCCCUUGCUGAGUAUUUCACAGGCACCACCCUGACCGCGUGCAGCUCUGUUCAGGGGACAGUCAGGGGAGAGUCAGGACUGGACCCCAGGCCCAAGAGACCCCAUUGCAGAGGACCCUAAAGCCGCCACUGAGUCGAGUGAAACACAAGGACGAGAACCCCCCGCGAGGAAGACCGCUGAGAAGGGAAGACGUGGGGGUGGCCUUCGGGCCUCCCCUGCUGGCAUCCUCACGGCCCUGCAACCACGCCACUGUCCAGGGGGUUCCGGGGGGCGUCCAGGACUGGCGAUUCUUGCUCAGCAGCCAGAGGACAAUGGUCACAACCGUAGCCAUUGGGGCCACAUGCAGGCUGUCCCCACACCAGGACCCUGGCAGGCCUGGGAAAACCUUACAUCUCUCUGCUUACAGCAGCAGCAGCAGCAGCUGGGUGCCCCGGACACACACAGAGCCCAGGGAAAGGUUUCCAAAGUCGGCAGGCCCAGGGGCUCCCGUGGCCUCCCAGGGCAGCCCAGUGUAAGCUCUAAGUGCAGGACACAGGAGGAAGCCGCCCUCCUGCCAGCCUAGGCCUCUAGACUUCUCUUGGGCCCUGUAGGUCUCGAGUCUGUGGCUGCUUCACAGCUGGCCAGCGCAGGCAGGUCAGUACCUAAUGCUGUGUUCCCACACCAGCCCUGCCUUAGUCCAGCCCAUGUGCAGCAGGGCUCUGUCCAGCAGGGGCUGGUCCUCAAGGUUGGGACAAGGUCCCUCCAGGUCCUCAGCACCAACUGUUCCUGCUAGGUGUGGUGGUGCACGCCUGUCAUCCCAGAGGCAGGACGAUCGUGGCAAACCCAAGGCCUGCCUGAACUGUACAGCGAGACCAUGUCUCAAACAAAACAGAACACAGCUUGAUCCUACCAAGCAGAAUCACCCUGCCUGAUUAAGGAAACAAGGCGUGAGGUCCUUUUUUGUGGUUAGAAUCUGUGGAAGUUUGAGAAGCAGAAAUCAACAAGAAAUGUAGGAGAAUAUGAGCUAAGAGCAAAAGAACAAACUGUGAGCCUGUGAGUGUUUCCACACUGAGCUGAAUAUUUAAGAGAGACGUUUGCAUAGAGGAUAGCCUCACAUUAGCGUCAGGCUGAAGAAAUCCGCAGGUCACCCUCUCCUGGCUGCCCCCCCACUCGCCGUAGUAAAGCCCGGAAUCUGGAAUCACACUGCUCCGUGCUCAGGCUAAGGCUUGUUUUAUUUGGCUUAAUUAAAAGCACUCAGCACAUGGCGAAGGCCCAGUGAUUUUAAAGAUAGAAGUGACGCUCAGGGCCAGAACCAGCAGAACUGGCUGGGCUUGAUUUCUAUCCAGGUUUUCUUGGAGGGAAUUAAAGAACAACAAGGAAGAAAAUGUAUUGCUGGUUUAGGGAACUGAAAUCCCGGAGGGCUGAGCUGGGCCUGGCGCUGCAGACCUGAUGCAUGCACUGGGCCGGGGCAGCCUGGCCGUUGGGCUGCACAAGCCUGGCUGAGGGACACUGCCCACUCAAAUCUGCUGCAGACUCGGACCAGAAUCCUGGGUGCCUGUCGGGGUUCUGAGGGGUGCUGCAAAAGCCUUGGGGUAAAAUUAAUAUCGCUUUGCCUUAAUCUUAAAAAGAAACAAACACAAAAAUACAGCUGUUGGCAGAAGAGGUACUAUUCUAAAAAGAGUGAUCAUCUGUAUUCCCCACGUAAUGUUUGAUUCCUGGGCUACAAACAUGACCCAUACCUCUUUUUGAAAAGUCAGGCAAGGUGUGGUGAUGCAUGCCUGUGAUCCUAGCCUUUGGGAGGCUGAGGCAGGAGGAUCACUGUGAGUUCAAGGCCAGCCUGCAUUCCACAGAGAGACUCUGUCUCCAAAAAAAAAAAAAAAAAAAAAAAAAAAAAAAAAAAAAAAAAUCAAAGGGAAAAAAAAGUCACGCAACCAGGAGCAGUGGUGCAUGCCAGUAAUCCAGCUACUCAGGAGGCUGAGACAGGAGAAUCAUAAGUUCAAACCCAGCCUGGGCUACUGUUAUGGUACCUGAAUGUCGCCCCAAAGCCCCAUGCAGUCAGGGAGGUGGACUUCUAGAUUUUGUGUAAGAUUCACGGUCCAAUGCUGGGAUUAUGGGUGGUCUACACCCAUAAUCUACACCCACCCUAAAGUGGCCUGCAUAAAACGUAAGGGACAGAAGGAGUCUUCUCUCCGUGCUCUCCCCUUUAGCUCUUGCUGUCUUCUGCCUCCCUUGACAGCUGCCCUCUGCCCCGUGCCACCCUGCCUGGAGCCAGCAGAGUACACAACGAAACCUCCACAAACUGUGAGCUAAAUAAACCUUUCCUCCCUUAA